RNAcentral lists this ribosomal RNA (327 nucleotides) under Triticum aestivum (bread wheat). Its description in RNAcentral is "partial small subunit ribosomal RNA". Lineage: Eukaryota; Viridiplantae; Streptophyta; Magnoliopsida; Poales; Poaceae. The record is from RNAcentral.
AUGCGAGCUUUCCUGCCUCAGAUACCAUUAUGUCCCUCUGACGAUGACAUGUUCCCGUUCAGUUUCAAGAGGAAACAAUUCCCAAUAAGGCUUAGUUUUGCAAUGACAAUAAACAAAUCACAAGGACAGACAAUACCAAAUGUUGGCGUCUACCUGCCUGAACCGAUUUUUUCACAUGGUCAGUUAUAUGUCACGCUUUAUAGAGCAACCGCGACAUCAAACAUAAAGGUUCUAACAGGUACACAUGAUGAAAACAAGCAGAAGAAUAACACUACAAGCGGGACAUAUACGCAAAAUAUUUUAUACACGGAAGUAUUAACCAACUAG